AAUGAGAUUAGGUGUCCUUAUAAUAGGUCUUGUUAGAGGAAGUUCAUCCCUUUUUGCCUCUACCAUGUGAGGAUACAUCUCUUCUUCCCCCCAGGAGUUGCGGCAUUGAAGGCACCAUCUUGGAAGCAGAGACUAGACCCUCACCAAGCAAUUAACACGCUGUUGCAUUGUUCUUGGACUUUCCAGCCUCCAGAACUACUUUUAAGGUGGAAUCUCAAUUCAUCUCUUCUAUGAAACUUUCAUGAUUCAAAGGGAAGUCCCUGCAUGGGCACUGCCAGCUUCAUUGCACUUCUGCCUCUAUGCUUUUUCCUGAACCUUCUCCACCUCUGGAACGUACUUCAGGCUGCACAGGAAGCAUGGCUGGGGAGGCCUCAGGAAACUGACAAUCAUCAGUAGAAGAUGAAGAGGAAGGAGGCACUUCUUACAUGGCCAGAGAAGGAGGAAGAGAAAGAAGGGGGAAGUGCUACACCCUUCUAAACAACGAGAUCACGUGAGAACUCACUGUCAUGAGAAUAGCAGGGGGAAAAUCUGCCCCCAGGAUCCAAUCACCUCCCACCAGGCCCCUCCUCCAACAUUGGGGAUUACAAUUUGCCAUGAGAUUUGGAUGGGGACACAGAGCUAAACCAUAUCAGGUGACUAGUUAGUAGUUUUUUUCUUUUACACAAAAGCUAGUGUUGACAUAAAUUAUCACAGCAUCAAAGAUACCUAGAAAUAAACCAAUCAAAAUAUGUACAGGAUAUCAAAGUCAGGUCUAAAUAUUAUUGAAAGAAAUUGAAGAAGACCUAAAUAAAUUAAAAAAUACAUCACUUUUAUGAACUGGAAGGAUCUCAUCACUGUAAAUAAGUCAAACCUCUCCAAAUUGAUCUACAGAAUCAAUAUAAUGCCAAUCUAAAUCCCAGGAAGGUGUUUUGAGGAAAUUGACAGGCUGAUUCAAAAACUAAUACAGAUAUGUCAAGUCUUAACAGUAACAGAGACAAUCUUGAAGAAAAAUGAAGUGGGAGGAUAUCGUGACUCACUUUUAAAAGUGCACCAAGUGGCACUGGUCAUGGGAUAGACAAAUGGACCAAUAAAAAGGACUGAAAAUCUGGAAACAGAUCCACGCAUAUAUGUAUACUUGAUUUAUGACAUAGGGCAUCAUGGGGAAAGGAUAAUCCCUUAAUAAAUGACACUGGUUCAAUUACAUAUUCAUAUGGAAAAAAAUCUUGAUCCCUACCACACACUAUACACAAAUAUCAAUUCCAAAUGUGAAAGGCAAAACAAUAAAUCUUCUAGAGGGUUUGGCAAACUUUUUCUGUAAAGAGCCAGAGAAUAAACAUUCUGGGCUUUGUGUGCCAUAAGGUCUGUUGUAACACAAAAGUAGUCAUGGGUGAUGUGUAAAUGAAUGAGCAUGACUGCAUCCCAAUAAAACUUUAUUUACAAAAACAGUUGGCAGAAUGGAGUUGGAUCACAGUCCAUAGUUUGCCAACCCCUGUUCUAGAAGUUAACAUGGGAGAAUAUCUUUAUGAUCUUAGAAGAUUUUUAAAUAGUCACAAAAUGUCCUAAUCAAAAAGGCAAAGAUACAUUGUGGUCCUUUAAUUUUAAGACGUUCUGUUCACCCCAAAAUACCAUUAAAGUACUGAAGAGGCAGUCGACAUAGUGGGAGACAUUAUUUGCAACACAUAUAACGCAUGUCCAGAAUAUGUGAUAACUACAAAUCAAUAAGGAAGACAAAUAACCCAAUGCCAUGUUCAGACACUUCACCAAAGGUAGCCAAAUUGCCAAUUAACAUUUUCAGAGUUACUCAACUGUAUCAGUCUUCAGGAAAAUAAAAAUUAAUUAAAACCACAAUGACAUGCCACUACACACCUACUGGAACGAUCAUAAUUUAAAAGCCUGACAAUACCAAAUGUUUGUUAGCAAGGAUUUUGAACAUACACACUGUUGGUGGAAGCAUAAACUGGCACAUUUCCACUUUGGAAAACUCUUUGGCAAGUUUCCUCUAACGCUGAGUACUACGUGCAUAAUUUCUGACUCAGCAAUUCUACUUGCAGAUAUGUACUCCCACAGAAAUGUACACAAAAGACAUGUAUAAGAAUGUUUGUGGCAGCAUUAUUCAUAAUAACCUCAAAUUUUAAACAACCUAAAUGUCCAUUAAAUGGACAGUUGAAUGGGUAAAUAACUCAUAGUAUAUUUAUAGAAUGGAAAACUAUUCAGCAAUAAAAAUACAUGAACUCCUAUUACAUGCAAAUCUACUAAAACUUUCAAAUGUAACAGUAAGUGAAAGUCACCAGACCUGAAAGAAUACAGAAUGUAUCAUUCCAUGUGGCUCAAAUGCAAAUAAAACUAACCUAUGGCGUUAUAAGUCAGGACAGUGGUAACCUCUGGAGAGAAAGAAGAGCAUGAUAAAUUGGAGGGAAUAUUCAGUGGGUUUCUUGGGUGCUGAUAAUGCUCUAUUCUUUAACCUGAGUGGCACUUACACAGGUACAUUCAUUUUGUGAUAGCUCACUGGACUAUAUACUUAGGAUCUAUGUACUUUUCUGUAUAUAUGCAAUACUUCAUUUAAAGGUUUCAGAAAUCUAUGGAAGAAAAAAAAAAGCCACUGCCUCCUGUUCCAACUAUAUAUUUCAAUCCCCAGAGCAGGUCAGACACAAUAGCUGUACAGAUGCUUAGGUAGCACUGAAAUGCUACUGGACAAAGAAACAUGGCUUGCAAGUGUUCACACGGUCUCCUUACACUGGCUCAAAGACCCAACUGGCUCUAAUACAUUAAACUUAAAAGGUCACCAGGCCUGGUGACCACCUCACAGACGGAAUAGAUUCUAGAUACACCCAGAG
Molecule: long non-coding RNA, 2813 nt
Organism: Symphalangus syndactylus (siamang)
Lineage: Eukaryota; Metazoa; Chordata; Mammalia; Primates; Hylobatidae
Source: RefSeq, a predicted model, not a curated record